AAGGUCAGCGCUCACGAGCAAAGACCGCUCCUACUCACCUUAGAUUCGGGGGACGGAUUCAGACUUCUAAAAACUACUAAGGGAAAAAGGAAAAGGACUUAGGCUCGGGGUCUCUGGCUAUCGCAAGUAGCUUACCCGACCUCGCGCUGCCGAGGUCGAAUCGGCAUGAGGAAAAAGAAAACAAGACAUUUAGGAAAAAAGCUUAAAAAGAGCAAUUACACAAAUAUCUACAUUCAACAUUAACAUUGUAUAAUACAAGGCCUACUGGCCUCAACACCCACAAAAAAAAAGAAAACUAAGAGUCCUACUACUCUGUCCGCCCAGGUCCUUGAGCUCCGAGGGGAGGAAGCUCCACCUCAUCAUCGAAGAAGGCGGCC
RNAcentral lists this long non-coding RNA (377 nucleotides) under Sorghum bicolor (sorghum). RNAcentral's name for it is "long non-coding RNA (SBIC_LNC013532)". The record is from RNAcentral. Lineage: Eukaryota; Viridiplantae; Streptophyta; Magnoliopsida; Poales; Poaceae.